UGGGGAAUCUUGCACAAUGGGGGCAACCCUGAUGCAGCGACGCCGCGUGAGCGAUGAAGCCCUUCGGGGCGUAAAGCUCUUUCGACCGGAACGAUAAUGACGGUACCGGGAGAAGAAGUUGCGGCUAACUACGUGCCAGCAGCCGCGGUAAUACGUAGGCAGCAAGCGUUGUUCGGAGUUACUGGGCGUAGAGAGUGCGUAGGCGGUUUUCUAAGUUCGGUGUGAAAUCUCCCGGCUUAACUGGGAGGGUGCGCCGAAGACUGGGAAGCUGGAGUGUGGGAAAGGCAGGCGGAAUUCCUGGAGUAGCGGUGAAAUGCGUAGAUAUCAGGAGGAACACCGGCGGUGUAGACGGCUUGCUAGACCAUAACUGACGCUGAGGCACGAAAGCGUGGGUAGCAAACA
RNAcentral lists this ribosomal RNA (402 nucleotides) under uncultured bacterium. RNAcentral's name for it is "bacterial SSU rRNA". It matches the Rfam family "Bacterial small subunit ribosomal RNA", at positions 355 to 774 of the family's 1533-position model. The record is from RNAcentral.